GCGCGAUGUGUCUCAGGAAACUGUUAAGACCAAGCAUGAGGAUAUCUUGGCAAGCAUUUUGAACAAGGCCCUAAUUCCAGCAGGCUUAGCUCUUUCGAACCAGUUUAAAUUGGGACAAAUGACAAUAUUUCAUUUGAUAAAUGCCAUAAAAACAGCCUGUGCCUGCGAUUCAUGACCUAGGACGCGUUAACGCUGUAGGUGAAGUGUUGUAAAACUAAAGGAUCUCUGUAACAGUAUACUUUUCAGGCAUAUUAUGCUUUGCUCGACUUACACACGCUACAUAUUGCAGUUUGCUAUUUUAGGAUGGCUUAGUAUGGAAUUGUGACCGGUUACUUUUGCAAGCACACAAACUCGUCCGUCGCAACUGGUCAAUCCACAACUGACGAAAGAGAUAUGACUCAAGGAAGCAGAAGAGCUGUUUUCCUCCCCAGGCAUCUGCCUCAAUCGUUGUAUUUCUGUAACAGUAUGCCAUUAACCCUAUCAGGGACAGCACUUACGACAGUGGACAUCUUAUCGGGUUACAGGUUAGCAUUACUAGUGCAUGAAAGGGUUAGACGUUAGCGGGUGCUUUCCAUC
Molecule: long non-coding RNA, 576 nt
Organism: Hippocampus zosterae (dwarf seahorse)
Lineage: Eukaryota; Metazoa; Chordata; Actinopteri; Syngnathiformes; Syngnathidae
Exons: 2
Source: RefSeq, a predicted model, not a curated record